GGGGCCAUAGCUCAAUUGGGAGAGCGCAACGCUGGCAGUGUUGAGGUCGGCGGUUCGAUCCCGCCUGGCUCCACCA
RNAcentral lists this transfer RNA (76 nucleotides) under Methylococcaceae bacterium. RNAcentral's name for it is "tRNA-Ala". It matches the Rfam family "tRNA". From Rfam's summary of the family: Transfer RNA (tRNA) molecules are approximately 80 nucleotides in length. Their secondary structure includes four short double-helical elements and three loops (D, anti-codon, and T loops). The record is from RNAcentral. Lineage: Bacteria; Pseudomonadati; Pseudomonadota; Gammaproteobacteria; Methylococcales; Methylococcaceae. RNAcentral also lists the same sequence under 1 other name.